Molecule: small RNA, 793 nt
Filed under: Caenorhabditis elegans
Lineage: Eukaryota; Metazoa; Nematoda; Chromadorea; Rhabditida; Rhabditidae
Description: Unclassified non-coding RNA R06C1.15
Source: RNAcentral
CAAUGCCUCUAACAAAACGGGCGGUAUCACCGGUAAACCUCAGCAGAGGCACAAUUCCAUCAACAAUCCAUCGUGAUGAGCUUCAAUGUACUGCUAAUGGGACAAUCGCCAAUUUAGUACGACAAUUGAGCUCGUUGAGGUGGGAAAUUAGGUCGGAAAACUGGAAUUUUAUCGAUUUUUUUUUGCAGUAAGCACGCUGAGAACAUCUUCGGAGAGAUUUAUCACGACGCAAUGAUAAUAAAUCACAAAUCGAACACUCUUCAACAGAGAAUUGAUAGAUUGCACAAGAAAGUUGAAGAUUUGGAUUCAAAUUCCGAUCAAGCAACGUUGAAUGAAGCGAAUAUGCGAAAAGCAUUCAAAAGUUCAAUGCUUGUAGAUCAACAUAUUCUGGAUAGAAGCACUUUACCUACAGCAUUGACUGAAAUAUAUGCAAAAUGUGAUCCACCGCCGGAUCUUGAUGCUCUAAAUCCGUAUAGAGACUCUGAAAUCCCUGCGCUCUCUCUCUACACAAAUCCCUCGUUUUUCUUCGAUUUAUGGAAAAAGGAGACACUAAAAGAGGUUGCCGAACGGCCCAGACGGGUAAAAAGCCCGAACGACGGGAGUAAAAGCCCGAAAAAGCGGCGGAAGCAGCCUGGACAAGGCCCUCUCGGCACGACGGCCUAUAAUGAUAUGCAGCAUAGGAAUCGACAGAUUAGUGGAUCACGGAUUAAUCAGCAGAAUGAAGUUUUCUCGUUCCCGGAGGAAUAUCAGGCUCCGCAGGCUCUCGGGCUUCAGCUUAACUUUAAAAAUCAGG